RNAcentral lists this ribosomal RNA (253 nucleotides) under uncultured bacterium. RNAcentral describes it as "partial 16S ribosomal RNA". It matches the Rfam family "Bacterial small subunit ribosomal RNA", at positions 524 to 776 of the family's 1533-position model. The record is from RNAcentral.
UACGAAGGGUGCAAACGUUGCUCGGAAUUAUUGGGCGUAAAGCGCACGUAGGCGGCUUGGCAAGUCGGAUGUGAAAUCCCUCGGCUCAACCAAGGAAGUGCAUCCGAAACUGCCGAGCUUGAGUACUUAAGAGGAUCGCGGAAUUCCCGGUGUAGAGGUGAAAUUCGUAGAUAUCGGGAGGAACACCAAUGGCGAAGGCAGCUCGCUGGGACGUUACUGACGCUGAGACGCGAAAGCGUGGGGAGCAAACAGG